UUGUCAAUGUUUUACUCUAAAAGCUUUCUACGUCAGUUUUGAAAAGGAAGCAAUAAAGCCCAUUCAAUGGUAUGAAUAAAAAUCCUUUGAGGGUUAGGAGCGGAGCGUCUUUUCUUCAGCUGGUAAUCAAAUUGGAGCUGAAAUGAAAUUGAGUUUUCUUAUGAAAAUAGCCUUUGUUGCUGGGAAGGCUGGUAAUUCAUAAACAAUAACCUGCUCUUUUGUGUGGAUAAUAAUAUAUUCAUGUUCUUUCAAUAGGGUAAAAGCCAGACCUAGUGCAUUAUGGUACAGUAGCAGCAGCAGAAGGAGCGGCGGGGGCCGGCCGGGAGGAGACGCGGCGCGCGGGCCCGGCUCUCGGAAGCCUCCAGAAGCGGCCCUCCGCUCCGUUUGCUCGUUCGUCUGUUGCCGCUGCGCAGCAUCUGGCUCCUGUGGCCGGGCUCCAGCUGUGCCCAUCGCCACCACGGCUGCGGCAGCCGGGAGACCCUGCCUGCCGCCCCCGACGCCCGAGCUGCUCCGAGCCGCCUCACGGCCCCACGAGGAUCGGGACCGGACCAGACAGCAGCUGGACGUCCGCGCGGGAGUCGGCACUUGAUGAACCCUGCUCACUAUCACCGUGAUGAGGACCGUAGCACCGUGCAGCAGAAUUGAAAGCAGACGAUGAGAGCCAGCAGAACCCUGCGCCACAGGCGGCAGAGCGGCCUUAGGAGCACUCGUGGUGCUGGUAGGGUUGUUUUGAGUCUGGGUGUUUUGUUAAUUCUGUAUUAGUUAAGGUAGUUUUAUUAUCAUAGUUGCUGUUAUUGUUGGCGCUCUUGAAAUUACUGAGCCCAUAAUCAUGGUCAUAUCUGAGAAUAAUAGUAUAAUUUUCAGUUUUUAUAUGGAUACUUGUUAUUUCAAUUUCAAGCAUCAUUGCAUUGGUUGAAAGAGUGGAUUUCAAGGGCGCAAUCAUCAACUUUGCUGAGAAGAUCUCCUAUUUUAAGAAACAUUCAGUGGUAAUGCUACAUAAGCUAUUCCAGAGCACAGAACGAGAUGAAAAGCUCUCUAGUUCUUGUUUUAUGGGUUU
Molecule: long non-coding RNA, 1057 nt
Filed under: Capra hircus (goat)
Lineage: Eukaryota; Metazoa; Chordata; Mammalia; Artiodactyla; Bovidae
Description: lncRNA (ENSCHIG00000005647.1)
Source: RNAcentral